Molecule: ribosomal RNA, 208 nt
Filed under: uncultured bacterium
Lineage: Bacteria
Description: partial 16S ribosomal RNA
Rfam family: Bacterial small subunit ribosomal RNA
Source: RNAcentral
UCGGAUUGUAGUCUGCAACCCGACUACAUGAAGCUGGAAUCGCUAGUAAUCGCGAAUCAGAAUGUCGCGGUGAAUACGUUCCCGGGUCUUGUACACACCGCCCGUCACACCAUGGGAGUCGGAAAUGCCCGAAGCCAGUGACCCAACCGUAAGGAGGGAGCUGCCGAAGGUGGAGCCGGUAACUGGGGUGAAGUCGUAACAAGGUAGC